Mycena rebaudengoi is the source of this 88-nucleotide non-coding RNA. The record is from the annotation of a GenBank genome assembly. Lineage: Eukaryota; Fungi; Basidiomycota; Agaricomycetes; Agaricales; Mycenaceae.
UCGGAUGUGGUGCACGGUGCGCAUCAGCUCAUUAUAAUACUCUUUCCACUCCAAGCUGAAGAUCGGGGUUCGACUCCCGGCAUCCGAA